UCGUAACAAGGUUUCCGUAGGUGAACCUGCGGAAGGAUCAUUACCGAGUGAGGACCUAACCGGUCCAACCUCCCACCCGUGUCUAUCGUACCUUGUUGCUUCGGCGGGCCCGCCAUUCGUGGCCGCCGGGGGGCAUCUCGCCCCCGGGCCCGCGCCCGCCGGAGACACCAACACGAACACUGUCUGAAGGUUGCAGUCUGAGUCGAUUUAUUUAAUCGUUAAAACUUUCAACAACGGAUCUCUUGGUUCCGGCAUCGAUGAAGAACGCAGCGAAAUGCGAUAAUUAAUGUGAAUUGCAGAAUUCAGUGAAUCAUCGAGUCUUUGAACGCACAUUGCGCCCCCUGGUAUUCCGGGGGGCAUGCCUGUCCGAGCGUCAUUGCUGCCCUCAAGCACGGCUUGUGUGUUGGGUCGCCGUCCCCUUCCCGGGGGACGGGCCCGAAAGGCAGCGGCGGCACCGCGUCCGGUCCUCGAGCGUAUGGGGCUUUGUCACCCGCUCUGUAGGCCCGGCCGGCGCCUGCCGACCACCAACCUUUUUUUUACCAGGUUGACCUCGGAUCAGGUAGGGAUACCCGCUGAACCUAAGCAUAUCU
Molecule: unclassified non-coding RNA, 590 nt
Filed under: Aspergillus wentii
Lineage: Eukaryota; Fungi; Ascomycota; Eurotiomycetes; Eurotiales; Aspergillaceae
Description: sequence contains 18S rRNA gene, ITS1, 5.8S rRNA gene, ITS2, 28S rRNA gene
Rfam family: 5.8S ribosomal RNA (bases 223-376)
Source: RNAcentral